Molecule: ribosomal RNA, 370 nt
Filed under: uncultured organism
Description: bacterial SSU rRNA
Rfam family: Bacterial small subunit ribosomal RNA
Source: RNAcentral
CGUAGGGUGCGAGCGUUAAUCGGAAUUACUGGGCGUAAAGCGUGCGCAGGCGGUUUUGUAAGACAGAUGUGAAAUCCCCGGGCUCAACCUGGGACCUGCAUUUGUGACUGCAAGGCUAGAGUACGGUAGAGGGGGAUGGAAUUCCGCGUGUAGCAGUGAAAUGCGUAGAUAUGCGGAGGAACACCGAUGGCGAAGGCAAUCCCCUGGACCUGUACUGACGCUCAUGCACGAAAGCGUGGGGAGCAAACAGGAUUAGAUACCCUGGUAGUCCACGCCCUGAACGAUGUCAACUGGUUGUUGGGUCUUUACUGACUCAGUAACGAAGCUAACGCGUGAAGUUGACCGCCUGGGGAGUACGGCCGCAAGGUUG